UAGGGAAUCUUCGGCAAUGGGGGGAACCCUGACAGAGCAACGCCGCGUGAGUGAAGAAGGUUUUCGGAUCGUAAAGCUCUGUUGUUAAGGAAGAACGAGUGUGAGAAUGGAAAGUUCAUGCUGUGACGGUACUUAACCAGAAAGGGACGGCUAACUACGUGCCAGCAGCCGCGGUAAUACGUAGGUCCCGAGCGUUGUCCGGAUUUAUUGGGCGUAAAGCGAGCGCAGGCGGUUAGAUAAGUCUGAAGUGAAAGGCAGUGGCUCAACCAUUGUAGGCUUUGGAAACUGUUUAACUUGAGUGCAGAAGGGGAGAGUGGAAUUCCAUGUGUAGCGGUGAAAUGCGUAGAUAUAUGGAGGAACACCGGUGGCGAAAGCGGCUCUCUGGUCUGUAACUGACGCGGAGGCUCGAAAGCGUGGGGAGCGAACAGG
RNAcentral lists this ribosomal RNA (429 nucleotides) under Bacteroidota bacterium. Its description in RNAcentral is "Bacteroidetes bacterium partial 16S ribosomal RNA". It matches the Rfam family "Bacterial small subunit ribosomal RNA", at positions 355 to 776 of the family's 1533-position model. Lineage: Bacteria; Pseudomonadati; Bacteroidota. The record is from RNAcentral.